This is a non-coding RNA of Cinara cedri, 271 nucleotides long. The record is from the annotation of a GenBank genome assembly. NCBI's taxonomy places the organism in Eukaryota, Metazoa, Arthropoda, Insecta, Hemiptera, Aphididae.
GGUCAAAUAUAAUUUCAGCCGUUUUUAGUGUCUGUUCAUCGGGUGUAUGAAAUUCAACCAAAGUUAGCUCUUUAAUAGAAUAAUCUCCGCGGGGAAAUUCGAUUUGAGAAUUUGUCUUGUGUCUAUCUACUCGUGAAGUAUUUUUUUUUUUUUUUAGGAAGAGGGACACGCGUUCACGUAAAAACAUCCAGUAACAGCCAACGGCAUUAAUUAAUAAAAUACGAUAUUCUACAAUUUAGCAGUCCGAUACCUCCGCGGUGAACGUGGUUUU